UGAAAACUACUCGCUUGUUUUGACUAGGUGAGUGUUCCAUAUAGGAAUACGUAAUUGAAUAAGUCUAGGACACGCUUAUUUCAUGAUUAUUAAGUGUUAAGUGCUAUGUGUUAAGUAUUUACCAUACUCAUGCUUGGAAAUGCUCGAAUAACAUGACUUGGUAUGCUAAGGUUGCAUACGUCGUUGGAGUGAAUCUCCUCGACUCUCACAUGGUAAAAAUGGGAUAACGGCCAAUGAUGGCCUAUUCAUAUGACAAAUGCCUGUCAAUUGAACGUCACUGCUUAACCGUUAACCGUUAACCGUCAACCGUUAACCGUGAACCGUUUACCAACCACAUGACUACCUGAUUACUUGACUAUUUGCUCACAUGAUUUCCAAUCUACAUGACUAUUCGAUAUCCGUGAAUUACAUGUUCCCAUGAAAUCAACUUGUAUUGCUUACGUGCUUACGUGCUAAGUAUCUACUUGAUUACUUGAUUAUCAUGAAUCACAUGUUAUAUGAAGCUGUCCAUCAUUAUUAGGCGAGUGUGUACUUUACCUCACUCGACCUACUCAAAUGAUGAAUUUUACCUUUUGUCGAAUUACUUGGUUACCUGUGCAUGUUGUAAGCUCUAAGAUGAACUUGGGCCCUGCCCUUGGUUACUGACCUACUCGAGCCAGGACUGGGCUCGGUCGGGUAGGUUGGAACCCUGGGCCACCGUUUCGGUAUACUCGAGUAUUACCACUGGAGGGAUAAGGCGAUGGCCAGACCGUACCGUGGGAAUCCGGAAGUCAUAAGGUUCAGAUGACCGACAGAGUUCCACUGGAACACCGUAUCCUACUGUAUAUGUUUACCUUGUAUCAUGAUAAUUGUUUCAUGCUAAAAUGCCAACAUGAAAUCCUGAGCGAUGCCUGUGAUAUGCUCCAUACCUGUUACCUGACCAAUGUACUCAUACCAUGAUACUUGUCUCAUGAUAAAUGUCUCAUAGCAUGAUAAAUGUCUCAAAUUACUCGUACAAUGGUUAUCACCUCAUGAUAACAUGCCAUUGUGCAACCUUGAACCAUGCAUAUGAUAUGCCCAACUUACUUGAUUUAUUUGAACUAUUAGAGUGUCUUGGAACCUCACUGGGCUGUGUAGCUCAUCCCACGCUGUGGUUUUCUUUUACAGGGUUCGAGACCAAGGGUGCUCGUGAGUAGUACUAGAUUGUUUUCUUUUGGAGACUCUAAGUUAUAUUAUAACGGAUGGCUAUUGUACCCUUUUCCGUUGGGUUGUAUUUAAGCUUGAAAGCUGCAUAAUUGUAAGUGUGAGAUAUUUGAAGUACUUUAAUUAUGUAUUGAGGUUACUUAAAGUAUUUCGAGCUUUUGAAUGAUGGAUUGUAGUGAGUCCUGGC
RNAcentral lists this long non-coding RNA (1369 nucleotides) under Coffea arabica (coffee). RNAcentral's name for it is "long non-coding RNA (CARA_LNC004614)". Lineage: Eukaryota; Viridiplantae; Streptophyta; Magnoliopsida; Gentianales; Rubiaceae. The record is from RNAcentral.